AUAUUGUUGUAUGUAUCACCGAUCUUGUUUGGACGGCAAUCUUUUUGUAGCCUCUUGCUGCCGGAGGACACGUGCAGAAGAUACCACAAGACCAGCGGGGUAUUUGAGUGCAUACCACCAAUUGAUCGUGCAAACAACGUCCGCGUUAGGUUCAGGUAUAUUCACAAGUGGGGAUACUUAUUUAUAGUUGAUGUUCACCGAUGUACAUACACCACUGUGAUAUGUUGCUAUGUCCUGUUGGUUGGGCACCUGACAGUAUGAUCAGGGUUAUUUAUAGUUGGUGCCAUCUGAUUCCAGUUGUCUGGCCCCAUCUUGUGAUGGUUGUAAUUAUGCUCGUUGCUUAGGUACUUAAGGUACCUGACAGCAUUGAGCCAUUGCUGGAUGGAGGAUUUUAUUGGUUUACUUAUAGAUUUUGUGCUUAAUACUGUGCUCUUGAUUGUCAUAGUGCUAUUCCAUUUUGAUGACAAUGAUAACGUGUUUGUGUUUUGGUGAGGCUGAAGUUUCUUGAGGAAAAACUCAUUGCUAGAUGUUCUAUGUUGAUACCACUAUGCAAUACGAAUAGCUUUGCAUAUUGACUGUUGGAUAAACAUGAUCCAAUGGUGGCAAAUCCGAGCAGUCCUGGCCGUAGGAUAUCCUCUUGGCUACACUGGAUUAUUUCCAUGUGUGCUACCUAGAAGUUUCUGUGCUUGGGCUCAAGUACAAUGCACAAUAUGCACCAACCUCAAAACAAUGCCAUACCACUAUACACUAUAAGAAUAUCUUCGAAUAUUGACAGUUGGAUAAACCCAAUCCAACUGUAGAGAGGUGGUGAAUCCGAGCAGUGCUUGAAUAUUGACUACAUUGGAUUAUUCCAAGGGAGUGGAUGGUAUAUACUCCACUAUACAAUGUGCACAAAUAUCAAAACAAUGAACUCUUUUGUUCCAGACUCAUCCAUGCUAUAAUUCUCCAACUUUUCUCUUAUUGUCAUCUAUUUUUGCUUUGUUAUUUACAAUGCACAAUUUGCAUAAAAAAUAGGCAUUUUCCAUUUAUUCUAGACAACUAUGUAGUCUGUACUAUGAUUCUUCCAAGUUUUUUUCUAGAAGAAUCGGCAUUCAUUUUUGUUUACCGAUUUUUAUUUGGGUUCAAGGCUAUGACAUCGCCUUCAUAAAGCCUGAUUCUCUCUGCAAUACUUGUCUAUUCAUUCUAUUUUCUACCCAAAACUACAAUAUGAGAUAAUUAUAAGACAAAAGUGAUGCAUAUGUUUCACAUGGAUUUUGUAUAGUAUAGAGCAUCUUACAAUUUAGAGAUGGCACAUAUGUUUCAUAUGUUUCACAUAGAAUAUUUUGUAUCUAUAAUUUGAUUACAAAUGGCACGAACUAUGAGAACUAAAUCUCUACAUCUUACAAUUUAAACAUAUAUGACUUGGAAUCUACAUAUUUGCGAAAAAUGUUAAAUGGAACUUGGGCUCAUGGAGCCUAAAUUUUGAACAAUUUGAAAAAUAUACUUUUAUGUUUUAGAAAACUCUGAAAAAUACACAUAUAUCAGAGAUGUAAUGUACAUGUGUGUAAAUUUUCAUGAUCAAAUAUGUUAAAAUGAGAGCUACAAAAAAGGAAAACAAAUAUGUGGCUUUCUAUGACAUGCACUGUUUACUCUUGAAGUCCAUGAAUUUUUUUGUGCAGCUUGCAAUUCAACGUAAUUCAUCGUGAAAUUUUACACACAUAUACAUUACACCCUUAUAUAUGUGUAUAGGUGUAUGGUUGUUUUCUGAACUUUUUGAAACCAUGAAACUAUGAAAUUUGAUUAUUACUUUUUAAUAACGGGUUCCAUGGAGCUUGUCCUCCAUAUUUGCAUAUCUGUACUUAGUCACUUUCUUUUUGCCAUAGUUUCGUUAUGUUGUAGUAGAGGAUUUUAGUCCCACUUAUAGUGCCACUCCUAUGUCCUACGUGGAGUGCCACACCACCAGUGAAGAAUAGUCAAAGUAAGUCAAAGAAAGAAGACCCCAAGAAAGAAUAAGUCCAAAGAGGAGACAAGAGCAAAGAAGCCUAAGCCCAAGUAAGAAGGCCCCUCCUAGUGUAGGGAUUUUCCCUCUAAUAGGCUACAACCCACCCCUUAACCCUAUGGGCUAAAUGAUGGAAAGUUACCUAGUUCUACCUUCUGACCUCUUUACUCAAGGGUAGACUUCAUUUGUCAAGGACUCCUAGGCUAUAUAAAGCACCCCAUGGGCAUGUAACUCACUCAAUUUCACAUGAAUACACUAAGUGGAGGGUCACUCUCUCCUUCCAAUCCCCUUCAAGAGCGCAAAUGAAGGCCGAGAGCUCUGAGUCCGAGGGACCUUGUAAGGCUUGGACUAGUCGGGAGUCGUGGGACAUUGGGAACGGUUGCACUCUAAGUGCCCCGUGCCCCGGGCACCACUCUCGACGACCAUCCCAUAGGACGCAGGUUACACUCCCAUGAGUCUAAUGAACCUAUUUAAAAAACAUCAUCAUGGCACUUUGUCGAGUGUAUGACGACCUUCAAUAUAAGGUUGUUGUACAUGCCCUCGCUAAUUUCUGGCCACACUACUAAGGACACCCUCUAGUCAAAAGUUGAUUCUCGAACGUCAACAUUAGCACCGACCGUGGGAAUCAUCGCCAUGUGUGAGAAGUCACCUCGACCACCACAGCUUUAUGUCAAGGAAUCCAAGGAGAAAGCCUCAACUAGAAGAUCCAAGAAGAAGGACGUGGCAGGAGAGGGGAGCCCAAAGAACUCAGCGACGUCACCCUCGACGUGGUGGUCGAGGAAGUGUGCCCGGAGGAGGCCCUCGAUGUUGCCGCCCCCGUAGAAGGGAUCACCGCUCCAAAAUUCUCGCAGGUCAUCCUCAGCCUCGGCACCCAUGCCGAGACUACCUUAGGCAUGGGAGCCGAAGGCCACCCCACCGUGGGAAGCUCCGCCCCACUGAAAGUCAUCCAGGACCCUCGCUCCAUCGCUACCGCCUUGGAGACGCUCGUCAACUCUUCGGAUGUCAACAUCAACUCCAUAUGGGAUUUGGUCGACCCGCUCCAGGCCUUCGCCAUCGUCAUCGACCCAAGACUAGGACAUUCACCACCAAUAACAUGGCAACCACUCCGGUAUUUCCAAGUUUCACUAAAUAAAUAGAAGUGUGAUGAUCAUCAUUCAAUAGAGCAUUGUCCCAAAAAAAGAAAGGCCAAAAAAGAAAAAAAGAAAGGCCAAAUAAAAUAAAUAAAAAAUAAAUAAAAAGGGACAAUGCUACUAUCCUUUUACCACACUUGUGCUUCAAAGUAGCACCAUGAUAUAGCGAGUCUCAUAUAUUGUGCUUCAAAGUAGCACAAUGUUCUUCAUAUAGAGAGUCUCAUAUGUUGUCACUUUCAUAUACUAGUGGGAAUUUUACAUUAUAGAACUUGGCUUGUAUAUUUCAAUGAUGGGCUUCCUCAAAAUGCCCUAGGUCUUCGUGGGCAAGCGAGUUGGAUGCACACCCACUAGUUUCUUUUGUUGAGCUUUCAUACAUUUAUAGCUCUAGUGCAUCCGUUGCAUGGCAAUCCCUACUCACUCACAUUGAUAUCUAUUGAUGGGCAUCUCCAUAGCCCGUUGAUACACCUAGUUGAUGUGAUACUAUCUUCUCCUUUUUGUCUUCUCCACAACCACCAUUCUAUUCCACCUAUAGUGCUAUGUCCAUGGCUCACGCUCAUGUAUUGCGUGAAGAUUGAAAAAGUUUGAGAACAUCAAAAGUAUGAAACAAUUGCUUGGCUUGUCAUCGGGGUUGUGCAUGAUUUAAAUAUUUUGUGUGGUGAAGAUGGAGCAUAGCCAGACUAUAUGAUUUUGUAGGGAUAUCUUUCUUUGGCCAUGUUAUUUUGAGAAGACAUGAUUGCUUUGUUAGUAUGCUUGAAGUAUUAUUAUUUUUAUGUCAAUAUGAACUUUUCUCUUGAAUCUUUCAGAUCUGAAUAUUCACGCCACAAUUAAGAAGAAUUACAUUGAAAUUAUGCCAACUAGCAUUCCACAUCAAAAAUUAUCUUUUUAUCAUUUACCUACUCGAGGACGAGUAGGAAUUAAGCUUGGGGAUGCUUGAUACGUCUCCAACGUAUCUAUAAUUUUUGAUUGUUCCAUGCUAUAUUAUCUACUAUUUUGGGCAAUAUUGGGCUUUAUUAUCCACUUUUAUAUUACUUUUGGGACUAACCUAUUAACCGGAGGCCCAACCCAGAUUUGCUGUUUUAUGCCUAUUUCAGUGUUUUGAAGAAAAGGGAUAUCAGACGGAGUCGAAACGGAACGAAAUCAACUGGAGAAGUUAUUUUUGGAAGGAAACACACCUGAUGGACUUGGACCCCACGUCAAGGAAGGAACGAGGUGCUCACGAGGGUGGGGGGCACCCCCCUAGGGCGCGCCCCUGUCUCGUGGGACCCUCGUGGCUCCCCUGAUGUACCUCCUGCAUCCAUAUAUACCUACGUGACCUAAAACUUCCAGAACGCAUAAUAGAUCGGGAGUUCCGCCGCCAGAAGCCUCCGUAGCCACCAAAAACCAAUCGGGACCCUGUUCCGGCACCCUGCCGGAGGGGGGAACCUUCACCGGUGGCCAUCCUCAUCAUCCCGAUGCUCUCCAUGACGAGGAGGGAGUAGUUCUCCCUCGGGGCUGAGGGUAUGUACCAGUAGCUAUGUGUUUGAUCUCUCUCUCUCUCGUGUUCUUGAGAUGAUAUGAUCUUGAUGUAUCGUGAGCUUUGCUAUUAUAUUUGGAUCCUAUGAUGUUUCUUCCCCCCUCUUCUCUCUUGUAAUGAAUCGAGUUUCCCCUUUGAAGUAAUCUUAUCGGAUUGAGUCUUUAAAGACUUGAGAACACUUGAUGUAUGUCUUGCCGUGGAUAUCUGUGGUGACAAUGGGAUACCACGUGCCACUUGAUGUAUGUUUUGGUGACCAACUUGCGGGUUCCGCCCAUGAACCUAUGCAUAGGGGUUGGCACACGUUUUCAUCGUGAUUCUCCGGUAGAACUUUGGGGCACUCUCGAGGUCCUUUGUGUUGGUUGAAUAGAUGAAUCUGAGAUUGUGUGAUGCAUAUCGUAUAAUCAUACCCACGGAUACUUGAGGUGACAUUGGAGUAUCUAGGUGACAUUAGGGUUUUGGUUGAUUUGUAUCUUAAGGUGUUAUUCUAGUACGAACUCUAGGGCUGUUUGUGACACUUAUAGGAAUAGCCCAACGGAUUGAUUGGAAAGAAUAACUUUGAGGUGGUUUUGUACCCUACCAUAAUCUCUUCGUUCGUUCUCCGCUAUUAGUGACUUUGGAGUGACUCUUUGUUGCAUGUUGAGGGAUAGUUUUAUGAUCCAAUUAUGUUAGUAUUGUUGAGAGGACUUACACUAGCGAAAGUAUGAACCCUAGGCCUUGUUUCAACGCAUGGCAAUACCGUUUACGCUCACAUUUAUCACUUGCUACCUUGUUGUUUUUAUUAUUUCAGAUUACAAAAACUAUUAUCUACUAUCCAUAUUGCACUUGUAUCACCAUCUCUUCGCCGAACUAGUGCACCUAUAUAAUUUACCAUUGUAUUGGGUGUGCUGGGGACACAAGAGACUCUUUGUUAUUUGGUUGCAGGGUUGCUUGAGAGAGACCAUAUUCAUCCUACGCCUCCUACGGAUUGAUAAACCUUAGGUCAUCCACUUGAGGGAAAUUUGCUACUAUCCUACAAACCUAUGCACUUGGAGGCCCAACAACGUCUACAAGAAGAAGGUUGUGUAGUAGACAUCAUGGCGCACCAUCUGUUCCCAAGUUUCAUUUAAAACCCAACUGUUUAAUUAAAGGUGAGGAGAUCUCCCGGUAUUUCCACUACUAGAUGCUCAAGUUGUCCGUAACCGGGGACACGACUAAUCGAUUAGGUUGACACUCUAUAGAGGUUGCACACUUUUCCCCACAAGACUCGACCACCUCCAUGAUCGAAGAUCGAGACAUAGUCUUUUGAAAAUGUCCCCCCCCCCUUAACCCACGGAUAGGCCGGUACACCUACAACAUUCCACAUUUGCUAGCCCAUCUCGGAAGGGGUCACACUAACUACUCAACUAAGCCAGAGCCCAUAUUGGCUUGUGGCUGCACACGUAAGCUUCUAGACAUGAGAAUACGAUUGAUCUCUUUGAGCUUGAGCGGACGGUCCACUAGUGGUGCACCACCAUGGAUUUCCCAUGUGUGCCCCACUGUACUUCGCCACCAUUCCAACAAGUUUCCGCCUAGGUAGUUCAUUAAUUAUCUUAGGUCCUAUUUACUACAUUGUCACUCAUACUUUACAAUGAUCACUCCCAAUCCACGUCUACUUAGCGAAGCAACAUAAUGUAAAACGAUGGCGAAAAUGUUGUAAGGUUCAGACCUGCCUCAAUGAACUACUGUGUGUAAAGCAUAGUCAUACGACAUCAAUUCCUACAAUGCAGUCCAACCACAAAGAACUAAGUGGAUAAUAAUAACAUAGGUAAUGAAACAUGGUCAAGAUGCAACUUGCCUUGGUACCACUGGUUGAAUUCUAAAGACUGAUAAUAUUCUGCUUUGCACUUCGGGCAAUCUAUCGCAAAGAAGAUAAACAAACAUAAGCAAACAUUUCUGAGAAACAAGAAGAAACAUGCAAAGCAAAAUGUCUCGGAAUAACCAAAUGAACGAACAACACACUUAACUAGCAUGAAAAUAUUCUAAGUGCAAAGCAACAUAGGCCUUUGGUUCAAAAAGUGAUGCGAACUAUAGUGCAUACUAUGCCUACUAGUAAAAAAAUAUAUUAAUGGGCAUAUUCCAGUGCGUGAAAAUUAUUAUGACAAAGGUCCAGGUGAUAAGGUUUGGCUACGGUGUCAAAGUGCAAAAAUAAUCAACUUAAUCGGAGCUAUGGUUUGGGAGAUAUGGCCAUUUGAAGUUUGAAUUCGAAUUUGAAUAAGUUCAAAUUUGAAUCGGACAAAAGUUUACAAAAAGGAUACCACUGGAUAGAUCUAAACAUGAUGAAGAAUUUGCCGUUGGUUUCAUCGAGUUUAAAUCUACGGUUAAAAAGUUGUGGCUACUCGAAGUUCACGGACUAAUAUGCUAAUCACAGGGACUAAACAGUGAAACAGAAAAUAAACUAAAACUGCGAGCAGGCCCUUGGCCAUGUGGCGGCUUGCGGGUGGCUGAGUAGCGUCCGCUGCGGGACUUAUUUGGUGAACGAUCACUAAAUAAGAAAAACAACGUCGACGGCUAACUAAAGAAAAACCGACGCUCGAUUUAAAUAAAAUCGCACGGUCUAAGGGAACCGCACACCUCUUUGCAAAAUAAAAAACGAACCUAAUCUAAUCUAGGCCAUCCAUGGUAGAUCGAACGGGGGAGGGUGGGGCGGUGGCUCACAGUGGAUGGUGGUGGUGGUGGCCGACGACGAUGAAAACGGCGGCGUGGCGUCGGUGACGGAGGGGGCGGCGGCUACGGUGGUCCUCGUCGACGGGGAGGUGCGGCGCGUCGAGGGCGUCGCGAAGGUGGUGUCGGCGUUCGUCGGCAGUGUCGGGACGGGGUGAGGCGAAGACGGUGGGGCUCGGUGCUCCGGCAGUUCUGGCGUCGAUGGUGCGGCGGCUCUGACGGGACCCAGGGGCAAAUAUCAUGUCAAACGGAUGCGCCUUGGCGAGCUAAGAAAAAUUACAGAAAAGGGAGGGCCGGCGUGGUCUACGGGCAACGAAAUGCUCCGGCGAGUUGCGCGGCUCCGGCGAGAUGCGAACGGGUAGGAUCGACAGAGGGGAGCCAGGGGCAUUUAUAGGUGAGGGGAGGGUGUGCGGGUGCCGUGGAUAAGACCUAUCUGAGGGGCUUCGCCGGUGGUUGCGGGGCGGCACGACACGGAUGUAUAUCCCGUGCGGUGCGGGAGGUUGGGGACGAGCUGGGGAAGCGGGGUCCCACCGGUCAGUGGCGGCGGCGGUAGCGAGCGAGGGGUGUCGGGUGCGGGCGACCGGCGCCUAGGCUAAUCGGGCGCGGGGCUGGGCCUUCGGCCGUUUCGGCCGGAGGCCUGGCUGGCCUGGUUCGGCUGGCUGAGCGCGCGCGUCCCUAGGCCGAACUGGUUUCGGUCCAGGCGGGUGAGUGUGUGUGUGUGUGCGUGCGUGCGUUCCUUUUUUCUAAAACCAAAUACUAAAGUGUCCCUAAAUAAUUCAAAUGAAUUAAUAAAAACACCAAAUUAGUUUCUAAAAUAACUAUACAAUAUUUAGAGCCUAAUGAACAUUAACUUAAGCACAUAACAUUUUUAAAAAUAUUUUCCUAAUGCAAUUAAUGCACUUUUUUGCAAAUAAAAUAAAUACCAAUAAACUCCAAAACUUCAAAUAAUAUUCAAAAUAAAAUUUCCCACUCUUUUAUAAGUUUGAGGAAGUCAUCUUAUCCCCUCUCAUUUGUUUUUCUCGAGUGGAAAAAUAUUAUUUGAAUAUUUUAAAAACUCCAAAAUGCAAAGAAAUAUGAUAUGCAUUGAAUGAUUCUAUUAACAUCCAAAUUUAAUAAAAAAUGCGAUGUUACCACUGCCCUUUUUAUAUGGUUAGGUUUUACAUUAAUAAAUUCCUUGUAGUUGUGGAUGCUUGCUAGGGCUUCACACUACUGCAGGUUACUGCUAGCGCGAGAUUACGAUCAGAGACCCUUUGACGAAACUGUGUGCGAUGCAUUAAUCGCAAACGACGGUGUAAAAAACCCGUCAAAAAAGGUGCAAAACAUUUGCGAUGACGGAUACAUCAAACACGGUUUAGAUUUUAGUUGCGUGUGCGAUGCAGGGCAUACGGUUCAGUUCAAUUAACUAUUUGUGAUGUGGCAGAACAAAAGAAACGGGCAGCCAGAUGAAGGCGUGUGCCAUAUACAGCUUACGGUUCACUCGGAUGACCUAUUUGUGAUUAGGCAACACAACAGAAACGGUCAGCCAGAUCAAGGUGUGUGCGAUAUACGGCAUACGGUUCACUCAGAUGAACUGUUUUCGAUUAGGGAACACAAUAGAAACGGUUCAACCAGAUCAAGGUGUGUGCAAACGAGGGCAUACAGUUCAUUCCGAUAAACUGUUUGUGUUGAGCCAAGAGAACAGAAAUGUUUCAUAUAAACAAGAUGUGUGAAAUACGCGGCAAAGAUCUAAUUACAUAGGUGUCUAGUACACACAUGACAUUUCCACACACCAAAAUAAACUAUUACAUGCAUAAUUAACUAGGAUAAACGGUCAUCUGAUCAUCAUCUACUUCUUAUGCUAGCUCAAUGUUCCUUCUAUUCUAAGUCUCCAUUAAUUGAUGGCAUUUUAUGAACACGCCACCGUUUCCCUCCACCCAGCGAUACUACGCAUACACCUUGGCGGUGCGCGACGCACGGAGGCAACAAGCGCAACCUAUAGCACACCCACCUUUUCCAAGCAUGCCAACCCACCAAAGCGCGCCUCUGUCAUCAACCUCGCCGAUGAGGAAAACGAUCAGGCGCCACAACCCAUCGAGGCCGAGGUGCUCCCCGACAACGUGAUGGACGAUGUCGUGAUGCGCGUCAUCACCAGGGUUGAGCAGACCCUUGGCGCAUGGCGCUUCAGCGCCGUGGAUCAAGAUAGGCAUGUCAACGCGGAGAGGCUGCAGCUAUCCGCACAACAUGAUUGAUGGCGCGCCGCAGAGCAAGCUAGGCGCGUCUGCGCCGAUAGGCUGCGGCUCGCCGCACGAUGAGACCGUUGGAGCGCCAUAGAGCGAGAGGCGCGGGGUGCCACACAGCAAGAGCGGAUCCGUCGGCGCUUGGCUGCUGUCGACAUGGCGUCGCAGCUGGGUACACGUCCUGUCAGUACCCCCAUUCCUCGCCAGGAGUGGGCAGAGGCCCUCUGCACCGUACUUGCACCAGAGGCCUGAUACGUCCAUUUUGCAAUAUCUUUUCCUAUUGUUUUAUGAUGUUUUAUGUAUAAUAAUGCUUUUUGGAGUAAUUCUAAUGCCUUUUCUCUCAUAAUUGGCAAGGUACACACAAAGAUGGAGAAUUCCGGCAGCUGGAAAUCUGGACCUGGAAAAGCUACGUUAGGCUACCCAUUCUACACAAAUCCAAACAAGCUAAAACUUUACGGAGAAUUGUUAUGGAAUAUAUAAAGAAUAUUGGAUCAAAUAAGUACCAGAGGGGGCCCACCAUGUGGGCACAACCCACCUGGGCGCUCCAGGGAGCCCAGGCGCGCACUGGUGGGUUGUGCUCACCCAGGCCCACCUUUAGUGCCCAUCUUUUGGUAUAUAAGUCAUUUUGACCUAUAAAAAAUAAGAGGGGAACUUUUGGGACGGAGCGCCGCCAUCUCGAGGCGGAACUUGGGAAGGAGCACUUUUGCUCUCCGGCAGAGCAAUUCCGCCGGGGGAAGUUCCCUCCCGGAGGGGGAAUUCAUCGUCAUCAUCAUCACCAACAACUAUCCCAUCUUGGGGAGGACAAUCUCCAUCAACAUGUUCAACAACACCAUCUCAUGUCAAACCCUAGUUCAUCUCUUGUGUUCACUCUUGUUACCAGAACUAUAGAUUGGUGCUUGUGGGUGACUAGUAGUGUUGAUUACAUCUUGUAGUUGAUUACUAUAUGGUUUAUUUGGUGGAAGAUUAUAUGUUCAGAUUCAUUAUGCUAUUUAAUACCCCUCUGAUCUUGAGCAUGUUUAUCACUUGUGAGUACUUACUUUUGUUCUUGAGGUCACGGGAGAAAUCAUGUUGCAAGUAAUCAUGUGAACUUGAUAUGUGUUCGAUAUUUUGAUAGUAUGUAUGCUGUUAUUCCCUUAGUGGUGUCAUGUGAACGUCGACUACAUGACACUUUUGUGAAUUAUUGGUAACUUGACCUACAUUCCGUGUGACCAAAUGAGGUGAGACUUGAAAACUCUGAUGCAAUACCAAUCUGCAGUUCCAUCAUUUGAUUUGUGUAGCAGAAUGUUCACAAGCUAUAAGUGGAAUUUCAAAUUUACGCCCCAUAUCUGAGCAUAUCUUUUUUUUAAUAUGCACACACAUUAUGAACUGGAACAUAUUAGAACUUCCCUGAAAUUUAUACAAUUGUACACGAAGAGUAAAAAAGACCCACCGAUUGAAGUAAGCAGUCACCAACCUGCAAAUGCCACUGAUUCUCGAAAGGGAAAAAGCUGGGUCACCAAUUAUGUGGCCUCAUAUUCAUAAUCAGCCCAGCUAUCCACUAGCUGGUCCUUUACUUUGGACAACCCGUUAAUUCCCAUAUUGCUGUAUUCUAAAGCCAGCGGGGACCUGGUUCCUACAAAUUGUUUUCCUCUUAUCAAGUGAAUUCAGAUGCAAUCGAUUGCUUUGUGACCAAGCGAUGUAAUAAACAUUAAAAAGCAAGGUGACCUGAUACAAAAUUGUAAAAUACACCAGUUAACAAACUUCAUUUUCGGCGCUUUAAAUGUAAAACUGUGUUGGCGUCUUGGUUAGCAGGAUUUAUUUGCCAUGUUUCUUUGUCGUCUGCUUGUGGAUAUAUAUGAGGUUUUAUCAUGAUAAAGAACUUCCAUAUUUUAGAAAGUGCUUUCAUUAAGUAUGGCUAUUUACUUCUCUUGAAACUAUACUUGAAUUGUUGUAUAAUUGUAUUGACUGACAUGCAUUACUAGAAAGGGAUGUAUACUAUUGGUGGACAUAUAAUUUAAUAUUAACCGUAAUCUGUUCUGAUAGGGCUCAGCAUGUUUCUUCGUGAUGGGGAAGGCCCCCGGAUUUGGCCUGAUCUUCACGCUAGGAAAGGAUAACUUGCUUUGCCUGAUGAACCAAAUGUCAAGAACACACACCAAUGUGAUAGCCUUUGACAGUGAACUCAACCAACAAAACAGUUGAUGGACAUCUCGAUUUCCACCGGAAGAGACUCUUCAAUUCUUACAAACACAAGGAAAUGCAAGAACUAAGGUGGAGGGGAUGGUCAAAACCCUAGGAUAGGAGAGCAAAGCUCAACUAGUUUCUUCCUAAAACAAGUCUGACUACAAAAAAGGCUGUCUCCUCUUAAUUGUACUCUCUACUUCAGCCCUAGCUAUUGUGCAAAGUGUUUCGCCCAUUAUAAAAGCCACUUGGGCAGCUGAAAUUCGUUUUGGUUUGUCUGAUACCUUGCUGCACACCCAGACCCAGGACAUGCCUGGGGGCAUGUCUUCCCUGUUCAGCUUCUUUGUUGUCCGUGUUUAGCUUCUCAAACCUAAGGAUAGACAAAGUUGAUGUACCAAAUAGCAUCCAAUUCAUAUGUAGAUUAGCGGGAGAUUCAAGUAUGAGAAGACUCACCUAUUGCUCGAGUUGUUUGGCACAUGCCAUCGUCAUUGGCCCUACUUGAGUUGGAGGCAUGUCAUUAUGGAUGUCCUCAAUCAUCAUUUUGGAUGGAGGCAUUUCAUUUGGGGUGUUCUCAUCACUUUGAGAGCACCAAUUUUACUAUAAUAACGUUUCUAGCUUAUCUGAUAUGAUCUUUUUAUCUAAAAUGGUUAGUUACUUUAGUUUGAGCACACUGUAACUAUUACCUAUAAAUGGAAACAUGUCAUCUCUAAUUAAAUCCAUUCAUCGGUUACAUGGUUGCAGUUCCCCUACUUUUAACGCUUUAAUAGUAAAGAAUACAUUGAAUCAUUUUUAUGCUCACUGGCCCUCCACUGCUCCUGCAGUUUGGAACAUGGAUUUGGUUUAUCUUUUAGGUUUGUCAUUGGAAGGACGAAGGACAAAGAAAAAAUGGCAGAUCUUCAGAAAGAGGUAGACAUGUAUCAUGACUUUUUGUUUAUUGAUGCUGAUGAGGGUACAAAGCCCCCAGAGAAGAUGUAAGCUCUGUACACUCUGUAAUCUUGUAUUUCUACCUGUGAACUUGCAUAUUGUAAAUCUUACCUACUGAUUGCUCAUGUGAUAGGUUAGCAUAUUUCAAAGCAGCUUAUGACAUGUUCCACGCAGAAUUUUACGUCAAAGCUGAUGAUACUAUCUAUCUGCGCCCAGGUAAAUUUUGUGAUUUACAAUGUAUCAAAACUAUUGUUUAGAUAGUUAGAUCUGUGAUAUGUAAUUAUGUCACAUUUCUGCGCCAGAUAGACUUGCUGCUCUCCUUGCAAAGGACCGACUUCAUCACCGGACUUAUAUUGGUUGCAUGAAGAAGGGACCGGUUGUCAGUGAUCCGAAUAUGAAAUGGUUAGUGGAAACUUGAAUUGGUUCUAACAUCGAAAUUCAUAUUUGCAUAUAUGUCAAUUUUUCUGAAAAAGCAAUUGGUUUUCAAUGCAAGUCCAAUUAGUUUUCCAUGUAAGUCAUACUAGUAUCCAUGGCAUCUAUUGUUAUUUCAGCUAUGAAGGUUUUGAACUAUCUUGUUCAUUGAUUAUGUUAUUAUUUCAUGACAGGUAUGAAAGUUCAUAUGGAUUAUUAGGUAAUGAGUACUUCAUGCAUGCAUCUGGUUCACUGUAUGCUCUUUCUUCAGAAGUGGUGGGAGCUAUAGCUACUACAAACAAUGAUAGGUUAGUUGUUUAUCUUUUUUUUCCGGCCCGUAGAGUGAAAGCGUAUGAUAGCUCGCGUCACUCUGAACAUAAUAUACACUACCAAGGAGGCAAGGAGUUAACAGAUGUUUCUUGCACAUAUUAUCAUCUUACAUAGUUGUUUAGUGAUGAAUUCUUUAUGUUUCUAACCUAGUUCUAGCGUGUUGCAGUAGAUCUAAAAUAAACAAUGGCACAAUACUAAACUACCAAAAUGUAAGCUUCCCAUGAUUAGGUCACUUGUGUUGCAAUGAGAACUCACAAUUUGCACUCAGUCAAACAUGUUAAAUUUAUCAAAACAAGCUUUUGCCCCGCUUUAUAGAUAAAGCAACCACCAAGUCCAUACAACAAGCACAAGUGCGAGAAAAGUGAAAAUACGUUUGUUGGGGCAACAACACAAACAUGCCGUAAUAAAAUAAGAGGAAAAAAGCCACCAAGUGGCCGAUAGAUCAGUCGCUAUGAGUCGGGGCAAGACGACGAGCUGCCAGUCAUUGCGUCCAUCAUGCUGCCAAGCUGGUCCUGAUCCUGGUGCCUAGAGAGCGGGUGCCAGUGCUGCAAAAAGGCCAAGAAUUUGAAUAGUCUGUGGCCUGCCGUAAGAAGACCCUCUCAAUAACCAUCUUGUUAAACAUCUUCUAGAGGGUCCAGGUCAUCGCUGCGAACACUAACCAGAAGAGGCGUCUCCUUCUAUCUGUCUGGUUGGCGCGAGUUUUCGAGAAACCCUGCCAGGUUAGGGCCUCUCAGUUAGGCCCCAGAGCCUCACGAACAAAGCACCAAAAGAAUCAAGCAGCUAACCAGGCGAAGAAGAUGUGGGUCCUAGUCUGGGGACACCACAAAGAGGAUGUAAUCCAUCGCCAAGCCCAUUCCGCUUGAUCACCUCCGUCCCCGAUGGGAGGCGAUCCCGCAAAAGCUGUCACACGAAGAUCUUGAUCUUCAGAGGAAGGGGCACUUUCCACAAAGGUGUGGUCCAUGCAAGAAUUGGUCACCGGCACAAGGCGUGGUAUGCUGAGCCAACAGAGAAGAACCCCUAAGGGGUCAGGCACCAAGAUAUGACGUCCGGAUAAUCCGGAAGCAUCGACGGAAGGGCUACCCGAAGGCUGGCCCAAGCAAUGGUUUCCUUGGGCCGAAUGUGCGACGGAACAAGACGUUCCAAAUCCCAUUGUGAGCGGCCAAGGACACCAACAACAUCGGAUCUGCACAGAUAGCAAACAAGGCAGGGAAAUCAUUGCAGAGUGGAGAUCCACCCACCCAAGGGUCCAGCCAGAAGAGGGUCCCAUCUCCAUUGCCUAUGGAGAUAGAGAGCCCAAGACGAAUCUCAUUCUUGAUGGACUUAAUCGACUUCUAGAACUGAGAUCCCUCCCUAUGAUCACACGCAAGAAGUGGGCGGUCCUGCAAAUACUUUGCUUUAAUAAGCUGCAGCCACAGGCCCCAUCCUCUCUGAGGAUCCUCCAAACCCAUCUCAACAAAAGGGCCAUGUUGAUGCGACGGGACACAAGAAUAACUAGAACCCCUAGGUCCUUGGGCAAGCAAAUAUCAGCCCACUUGACCAUAUGGUAUUUGUGACGUCCAUCAGUCGCCUGCCAGAAGAAGCGCGAUAGAUUCUUACCAAAGGAGCUAUGCACCCCUGCAGGCAAAAUAUAUAGCCCCAUCAUAUACAUGGGGAGACUAGAAAGGCACGAGUCGAUAAGCAUGGAUUUACUCCCUUUGGAAGUAAAUCUACCGCACAAUGGUGCAGACCUAGACACAACACGACCCAUAAGUGGGUCAAAUUCCCAGAGGGGGACCCUCGAAUCAGAUAGCGGCAUCCUCAAUUACGCAAUGGGGAAGGAGGACAACUUGCAAUUAAGGUUGUCCGCAAUCCGCUGCUGAUCGUUGACAGAGUACCCUAAUACCACAACCUCACUCUUAUCGAAAUUGAUCUGAAGUCCCGACAUGGCCUCAAAGCAGAGGAUAGGAACUCGAGGUUAAUAAUAUCAAUUUCCGACCCUCAACCAUGAUCAUGGUGUCAUUCGCAUAAUGGAGGUGAGUAACACCACCUCCAUGGACAAUAUGCGCAACCACACUGGAGAUGUGGCCGGCCAUCCUAGCCUUAUCCAGGAUGGCCACAAGGGCGUCAACUGCCAGGUUGAAGAGGAGAGGGGAGAUAGGAUCCCCCUGCCUCACCCCAUGAGAAGACCUAAAGUAGGGGCCAACCUGCCUAUUAAUAUUAAUUGCGGUGCUACCGCUCUGAUCAACUGCAUGAUCCAGGAACACCAACGGCCAUCGGGCCCAUUUGCUCAAGAACUAAGCGAAGGAAAGACCAGUCAAGGGGGUCAUAUGCCUUUUGGAAGUCCAACUUAAGGAAUACACUUUUCUGGCACUGUACCUUCACCUCAUGAAUGAUUUCAUGAAGAGUUAGAAUUCCCCCAUGAAUACGACGCCACUUCAGAAAGGCGGACUAGCAGGGGUGAGAGAGGCGUUCCACCAGCGGGGCAAACUGCGUCGCACACACCUUAGAGACAAUCCGUUGUAGCACAUUAAUCACUGUAAUUAGCCUGAAGUUUUGGAUAUCCGUUGCCCCAACUAUUUUGGGGAUUACGGUAACGACACCAAAGUUCAGGCGGGACAUGUCUGAUGUCCCAAUAUAGAAUUCAUGGAACAUCGGCAUAAUCACCGGCUGAAGCUGCACCCAUAACCUUUGGAAGAAAGCAACCGGCAGGCCAUCCGGCCUAGAUGCUGAACUAGCCUUCAUCUGCGCAAUCGCCCGACCAACCUCCUCAGGCGAGAAUAGGAGGGUAAGUUUUGCACUCUCAACAGGAGAGACCCUGACCUCAAGUGGCCAACAGUCUUCCGCCAAAACACCAGAACGGCCUUAUAACAUCAACCAUAUGAAGUCCAUCAUGCAUAAAAUACAGUUGGUUAUAGCUAACAUUAUGUUUGGCGACGUAUUCAUCAUGCACAAAUAAUUGCUCCUAAUUUUUAAAACUGCAUACCAGUUUGAAUGUGAUCAGCAAGCUGCAGAUAAUCAUAUCAUAGAUGGCAUGCAUGCACAUGUGCUCAGAUAACUCCAUUUUGCACAGAAGGUUCUCCAAAUCGCAUGUGCAUAUCCAUCAUUAAUGAUCUGGUACGGUGGUGGUGAGGAACCCACCAAGUACGAACACAGCCAACCUACGCCCUCUGUUCCAAAAUAUAUGAUACUUUAGAUAUGGAUAGUCUCCAAGAUACAACUUCCAUUGUUGCUUUUUAUAUGGAUAUGUCAGUAAAUAUUUUGAAAUAAUUUUUCAUGACAAAUCUAAUGGCAUAAUUUGUACAUUAAAAGAAUCUGAGUAGUUUCUUUGCUAAUUACUCCCUCCGUCCGGAAAAGCUUGUCCCAAGCUUGUCUUUCAAAUGACAAAUCUAAUGGCAUAAUUUGUACAUUAAAAGUAAAUAUUUUGAUGCUAGAUACGUCCAUUUGAAGGACAACCUUUUCCGGACAGAGGGAGUAGUUGUCAGUGAUAAUAGAAGUUCGGCCUCAUGCUUUCUGUUUUAGUACUUCACAAUGAGAAAACAUAUAAGAUAAUUUAUGCGUGGAGAAGCAGUAACUCCCAGUGAUAGCCUUUAUACUUGCUAAUGUGAUUGUAUCGGUUUAUUAUUAGCCAUGGUGGCAAGUAGAUUAUUAAUCUUACCAUCUGGUAUUGUACGUUAAGAACCAACUGAAGGACAUAAGCAUGACCCUUUUUACACUUGGCAUAAGCUUAACCUUAUUGAUCCUCUACUGGUAUGUUAACGCCAAUAAUCGAUACUAAAUUAUGGUUUUGAUUUCCAAUGAAGCAUUCCAGGCUUCAAGCCCAUUAUGCAAGUUUUUUUUAGGGAAGCCUAUUGCGCAAGUUAGUUCUGUUGUGGAGAGUGGAUCUGAAAAAAGAAAAUCAUGAACAUAAGAGAGAUAUUUAAGGUGGGACCCUUCCAGGGGAAAACCAAGGGGCGCACAGAGGCAAGAUAAUUGACACUAUGGUAUGAGAGUUGCAACUUGCAAGCAGGGAAUUGUGAACGGCACAUCCACCAUUUCAGGCAGAUGUGGCAUGCUGCUAAAAAGAGUAUAUACAUAAGGGUGGAAAAUGGCUCCUAGUGGUCGGAAAACUGUCAGCCUACACUCCAAGUCUCCGGCAUGCCAUUCUACCAUCAGAACCUAGAAAACAACGAUACAUAGCGAGCAUGGAGGGCACGGUUAGUUUGUUUGGGGAGGCCGUCCAAUUUUUUCUUAUGCUUUUAUGUUCAGAAGCAAAAAUACAAACAAAACAAUGUUUGAACUGAGCAUCUAGUAAUGGAUGUUUCCACUAUCUCUCAUGUAGAUCUUUAAAGCUAGACCCCGUUUUGAUAUGCUUUGGUGGAAAUAUAUUCAUAUUUCUAGUGAUCUUCUUUUUGAGUCAGGGGCGUCAUGAUUCUGCGCCAAAGGUGCUAUGAGCUAGUGCAACCGAUGGCGGUUGCUAUGCUGAAUGUUGCCUUCGACGAAUGUGCAUUUUAACCUAUGUCUCCCAUUCAUUAUCUAUACAAAAGUAGAAAUCGUGAAUUUGUGUUAUCCGUUAGCACGCUCUACUCCGAAUGUUGCUUUCAAGUAAAAGACCCAAGGAAAAAAAAUCCAGCUAUACAGCAGUUAAACCGCAGAGACAAAAAACCAAGAAAAACCAUAGGUAAGACAAGGGGUUGCCCUUCACAUGACACGUGUCAUGUGGGAAUGCCUGAUCACUUCUCAGAUGUCACCCUCCCCGUAGUUGCUCCCUUAGUUGAAUACAUCUUCUUGAUCGGCUGUUAUCUUUUUCCCACACUGUUAUGUUUUAAAUGUUUACAUAGUCGUUGAUUUACUAUAUGCAUUUCCCAGUUUAAGGAUGUUUGAUUAUGAGGAUGUUACUAUUGGCUCAUGGAUGCUUGCCAUGAAUGUAAAUCAUGAAGACAACCGUGCAAUGUGUGAUUCCACAUGCACUCCCAGCUCCAUUGCUGUAUGGGACAGCAAGAUAUGUUCAGGUAUGUCCUUGGUGAACUACUUGUCUAAAAUAUUAGUCAUAACGUCUGAAGGAGAGAAUGACCAUACUGCUAAUUAUGCUACCAUCUCUCAUUUCUAUAUGUAAUUGUACCUAGAUGUAUUCGUUAUUCAGUUUCGUUAUAAUGUUCUUCAUAUCUCAAGCCUAUCGGUAUAGAUCAAGGUCUGAUUGUACAAUGCAAAAUGUCUUUGAUUGACGCACCUCAUGCCUUCUUUUGUGGCUCGAGUCCAUUCUUGACACUCCAACACAUGGUUAAAGCAUUCCUUAUUUAUUUGCAGGCUCUUGUAACCCCAUUGAGAAAAUAAAGGAGCUGCACAACACAACUUUGUGCUCAAAAAGCCCAACAUUACCGCCUGAAGUGGAGGAGGAAGAGUAGAAUAUUAUACUGAUACGUUAUUGACCCAUGAAUGGGCUAUUGUGUGGAUGCCAAUGUCUCCCUUAUGGGGAAAUUGGAUUCAUUAUCGCCUGGAGUUAUAUUGUUGUAUGUAUCACCGAUCUUGUUUGGACGGCAAUCUUUUUGUAGCCUCUUGCUGCCGGAGGACACGUGCAGAAGAUACCACAAGACCAGCGGGGUAUUUGAGUGCAUACCACCAAUUGAUCGUGCAAACAACGUCCGCGUUAGGUUCAGGUAUAUUCACAAGUGGGGAUACUUAUUUAUAGUUGAUGUUCACCGAUGUACAUACACCACUGUGAUAUGUUGCUAUGUCCUGUUGGUUGGGCACCUGACAGUAUGAUCAGGGUUAUUUAUAGUUGGUGCCAUCUGAUUCCAGUUGUCUGGCCCCAUCUUGUGAUGGUUGUAAUUAUGCUCGUUGCUUAGGUACUUAAGGUACCUGACAGCAUUGAGCCAUUGCUGGAUGGAGGAUUUUAUUGGUUUACUUAUAGAUUUUGUGCUUAAUACUGUGCUCUUGAUUGUCAUAGUGCUAUUCCAUUUUGAUGACAAUGAUAACGUGUUUGUGUUUUGGUGAGGCUGAAGUUUCUUGAGGAAAAACUCAUUGCUAG
Molecule: long non-coding RNA, 19321 nt
Filed under: Triticum aestivum (bread wheat)
Lineage: Eukaryota; Viridiplantae; Streptophyta; Magnoliopsida; Poales; Poaceae
Description: long non-coding RNA (TAES_LNC019471)
Source: RNAcentral